This 580-nucleotide ribosomal RNA is filed under the name Kurtzmaniella natalensis. Its description in RNAcentral is "eukaryotic LSU rRNA". The stretch from base 176 to 329 matches the Rfam family "5.8S ribosomal RNA". Lineage: Eukaryota; Fungi; Ascomycota; Pichiomycetes; Serinales; Debaryomycetaceae. The record is from RNAcentral.
UCUUUUGCAGCGCUUACUGCGCGGCGAAAACCUUACACACAGUGAUUUUCUUUUCUUUGAAAACAUUGCUUUGGUCUGGCGCAAGUUGGGCCAAAGAUUUAUUAAACUUCAAUAUUUUUAUUGAAUUGUUAUUUUAACCAUAGUCAAUUUGUUGAUUAAAUUCAAAAAUCUUCAAAACUUUCAACAACGGAUCUCUUGGUUCUCGCAUCGAUGAAGAACGCAGCGAAUUGCGAUACGUAAUAUGAAUUGCAGAUUUUCGUGAAUCAUCGAAUCUUUGAACGCACAUUGCGCCCUUUGGUAUUCCAGAGGGCAUGCCUGUUUGAGCGUCAUUUCUCUCUCAAAUCUUCGGAUUUGGUAUUGAGUGAUACUCUUAGUCGGACUAGGCGUUUGCUUGAAAAGUAUUGGCAAGAGUGGUACUGAGAAGUGCUAAACUGUUUCAAUGUAUUAGGUUUAUCCAACUCGUUGAAUCUGAUUAGUAGUGAUCUGUGCUUAGGCUCGGCCUUACAACAACAAACAAAGUUUGACCUCAAAUCAGGUAGGAUUACCCGCUGAACUUAAGCAUAUCAAUAAGCCGGAGGAA